GAGGAAUAUUGGUCAAUGGACGCAAGUCUGAACCAGCCAUGCCGCGUGAAGGAUGAAGGCCUUCUGGGUUGUAAACUUCUUUUACCUGGGAAGAAACCUCUUUUUUCUAAGAGAGUUGACGGUACCAGAGGAAUAAGCACCGGCUAACUCCGUGCCAGCAGCCGCGGUAAUACGGAGGGUGCAAGCGUUAUCCGGAUUUACUGGGUUUAAAGGGUGUGUAGGCGGGCUUUUAAGUCAGUGGUGAAAUCUCCGGGCUCAACCUGGAAACUGCCAUUGAUACUAUUAGUCUUGAAUUUUGUUGAGGUAGGCGGAAUAAGUCAUGUAGCGGUGAAAUGCAUAGAUAUGACUUAGAACACCAAUUGCGAAGGCAGCUUGCUAAACAAAUAUUGACGCUGAGGCACGAAAGCGUGGGGAUCAAAC
Molecule: ribosomal RNA, 420 nt
Filed under: uncultured bacterium
Lineage: Bacteria
Description: bacterial SSU rRNA
Rfam family: Bacterial small subunit ribosomal RNA
Source: RNAcentral